RNAcentral lists this ribosomal RNA (380 nucleotides) under uncultured eukaryote. Its description in RNAcentral is "SSU rRNA". It matches the Rfam family "Eukaryotic small subunit ribosomal RNA", at positions 587 to 972 of the family's 1831-position model. The record is from RNAcentral.
AGCUCCAACAGCGUAUAUUAAAGUUGUUGCAGUUAAAACGCUCGUAGUCGGAUUUCGGGGCGGUUAGUCCGGUCUGCCGAUGGGUAUGCACUGGUUUGGCCGUCCUUCCUUCCGGAGACCGUGCGUGCUCUUAACUGAGUGCGCUCGGGAGACGGAUCGUUUACUUUGAAAAAUCAGAGUGUUUCAAGCAGGCAGCUCGCUCUUGCAUGGAUUAGCAUGGGAUAAUGAAAUAGGACUUUGGUGCUAUUUUGUUGGUUUCGAACACCGAAGUAAUGAUUGAUAGGGACAGUUGGGGCGGUCCGUAUUCCAAAGCGAGAGGUGAAAUUCUUAGACCUUCGGAAGACGAACAGCUGCGAAAGCGUUCCGCAAGGAUGUUCCCU